CCCUCCCCUAAAUCACUCCAAAAAAAACAAUCCCCAAUUCUACACAAGUGUUUCUACACUAACAAAGCAACAGCUCCUUAACGAAUUCCCAACUUUACACGAGCUCGUCUCUCGAGGUUAAAUGUUAUUACUUGGUAAGAUUCCGGACCUCGCCAAGUGUUUUGAAAACCCGCAACGCUCGCAAAGGUGCAUAGUGAGAAUAAUAAGUGAAGAGACAGACUUGUCCAAAACGCCCACCACGAAGGUGCAUAGUGAGAAGAGUAAGUCAAGAGAUAGACUUGUCCAAAAAGAAACGGAAGAGAAAGCUUGGGGAGACGCUCACGAAGGUGCAUAGUGAGAAGAGUAAGUCAAGAGAUAGACUUGUUCAAAAAGAAACAGAAGAGAAUGCUUGGGGUUACACUCACGAAGGUGCAUAGUGAGAAGAGUAAGUCAAGAGACAGACUUGUUCAAAAAGAAACAAAAGAGAAUGCUUGGGGAGAUAGAAGUGUGAGAUAGUUCUCAAGCUAAGAAAGUUGUAAAAGCUAAGAACUAGCAAGUAAUCGUCCAGGAUUCCUCCACCAGGACUUGAAAUCGUCGAGGGAAAAAAAUCGGUUCCGAGGAAUCGUCGAUCCGGACUUGGAAUCGUCGAGAAAAGUUUACCGGGUCCGAGGAUUUGUCGACCAGGAGUGGAAAUCGUCGAGAAAAAUCUAUCGGGUCCGAGGAAUCGUCGACCAGGACGAGGAAUCGUCGACAGGGUCCGAGGAUUUGUCGACCAGGGGUUGAAAUCGUCGACCAGGUCCGAGACUUCAUCGAC
This 793-nucleotide unclassified non-coding RNA is filed under the name Arabidopsis thaliana (thale cress). RNAcentral describes it as "3' external transcribed spacer". The record is from RNAcentral. Lineage: Eukaryota; Viridiplantae; Streptophyta; Magnoliopsida; Brassicales; Brassicaceae.